Grammomys surdaster is the source of this 129-nucleotide small nucleolar RNA. RefSeq annotates it as small nucleolar RNA SNORA70. Lineage: Eukaryota; Metazoa; Chordata; Mammalia; Rodentia; Muridae. The transcript has a single exon. The record is from RefSeq and is a predicted model, not a curated record.
CUGCAACCAGUUAAGCAGAAAAUUCCUUUCCUGGUGGAAAUGUGGAGUGCAAAGCUGAAAUCAGCAGCUUCCUGGAGUAUAGCAGCCUGUUGCUUAGGUGGAUCGCCCAGAGGGACUUUGAAGGCAGUU